RNAcentral lists this long non-coding RNA (1783 nucleotides) under Equus caballus (horse). RNAcentral describes it as "lncRNA (ENSECAG00000054795.1)". The record is from RNAcentral. Lineage: Eukaryota; Metazoa; Chordata; Mammalia; Perissodactyla; Equidae.
GUGAGGUUGGCAUGUGCCAGAGGCAGGAAGACAGCCAGGGUCACUGCGGUGGGCAAGGGAGAGAGUGGGAGGAGAGGCUGUCAGGAGGCCGCCCAGGUCGUGAAGGGCCUCGUCCCACUGCAGGGCGUUAGGGUCACGUCUGAGCGCAGCAGGAGGACACUGAAGGGGUUAAGUAGAGGGGAGCCGAGGUCUGAUUGACACUUUAGAUCUGUGCUACUGGUGGCCGUUGGGCACUGGACACGCGGCCGGCCCACAGUGCAGAGCGCUGCAAGCGUGAAAUACGCGGUGGCCUUUGAGAGGGCGCCGGCGCCCACUCCAUCCAGCUGGACCGCGCGGCCCGGGAGACGGAUGCGGGGCGACAGGGAGCGCAGGCGGGCGCUCCGAAGUCAGGGCGCGGGGCUGAGCGGGACGGAACGCAGGAGUGGGCUGCAGCUCCGGGUCCAGGAAGGCAUUUUUAGAGAUAAGUGACAAUAAGCCAAAGGACUCCCCACAAUGACAGUGGUUCUAACGAGGCUGAUGGUGUGUGACCCCAUUUCCCAGAUGAGGAAACCGAGGUUCAGAGAGACUCAGGCGGCCAACAGCCCAAGCUGGUAAGUGGGAACUAAAGCUGAGACCUGCUGCAGCUGGGCCUAGAGCUUGACCAGCCGAUCGGGGGGAACCUGAAGAGCCCAAGGAUGGACCCGCGGACCUCCAACGGGGACAUAAUCUCUGCCUAGAUGGGCUCCCAUGUGGCCCGGGGCACUGAAAAUACAGACAGAUCCUACCUUCAAGACAACCUUACUGAAGUGGGUACCGUCAUUCCCAUUUAGAGACAAAGAAACUGAAAAUCAGAAAGGCUGGGUGGCCUGUCCAAGGUCACAGAGCUGUCAUGUGAAUGGGCCAGGAGGCCCUAGUGGCACGCCCCGUGCCCUCCCCCCACCCCCCGGCCCAGCACUGUGCUCAGCCAGGGAGGGGUGUUAUAGAUGCAGAAGGCCAAGCCGUGCUACACACAAAUCAGGAUUCUACACAUUAAAAUAAAAUUGCACGCACAGUGACGAAAUAAGUUGAAAAUAGCCGUGCAGACGUAAUAAUCAUUAUUGACAUCUGUAAUUGGUGACUUGGCAUCCAGGUGUCACAGGGCUGUGUUAAUGGACCAGGUUGUUUACCUCUUCACUGCGUCCUGGGUUUUUGCAGAUUCCCAGCCAGUUCGGCACCUCUGUCAAUGGUGUUAAGAAGAUGCCCGGAGCAGCCUGCAGCCAGCGCAAGCCUGCUCCAUCCCAGGCCUCAGUCCUGUCCUCCUCUGUCCUUCCGAUACUGCAGCCGCAUGUCUCUGAACAGGAGCCACGUGCCUCCCUCACGUGGGGCUCAGGCGCUCUCAGUGCUCUCCGGUUAAGGUCCCGACGCCUCCGCGCCUCCACACGGCCUUCGAAGCCCUUCUGCGAUGAGCGCCUGCCCACUUCUCCAACGCAGGGGCUGCAGCCCAGAGUCCACCUGGACCGUUCCACUUCCCCACUGUGCCCUGACCUUGCAGAACCUGAGGCUGCAGACGUGGUUCCCUUUGCCAGGAGCAUCCUUUUCCAUCUCCUUCACCUGCUUCCUCCCGCUUACAUAGGUGCUACCUCCAGCCCCAGCAUCCCUCCCUGGAUUCCUCACCCGUCCUCCUGCCCCAUCCCUGAGAAUCUUUCCCAUUCAUCCCCAGUGGCUCAGGUGGCAAAGUGCAGCGACCCAGAGCCUGGACCUGGAAGUCCUAGCGGGGCUCCUGGAAUCUUACAGGGUCAUCACUUUGUUUCUAAAAGUCAAGACG